Molecule: ribosomal RNA, 348 nt
Filed under: Triticum aestivum (bread wheat)
Lineage: Eukaryota; Viridiplantae; Streptophyta; Magnoliopsida; Poales; Poaceae
Description: partial small subunit ribosomal RNA
Source: RNAcentral
AUGUUGUGGAACUACGUGUGCGCGCGUGGGGGAGAGGGGGGGUGUGCAGUUUGUGAGGUAUUGGCCCUCUCUAAAGCCAAUAACCCCAAGCUUGUCUUUCUUUGUGAAACUAGACAAGCUUUAGAUAAAGUUGAGAAGUUAAGAUGGAGACUAGGUGUGAAAGGUUUCCAUGUAGUGAGUAGUGAUGAAAGAAGUGGAGGUUUGGCACUUUUCUCGGAUGAGUCUUUAUUAGUGACUGUACUUGAUGCAUGCAACAUGUACAUUGAUGUUAAUAUUUUGGAUGGUGGAUCUGGUAUUUCUUGGAGGGGGACCUUUGUGUAUGGGGAACCAAGAGUUGAAAACAUAUAG